ACUAGCUGGACCCAGGGCAAUCAGAACCUCCUCACCCUUCUCCUGUCCUUGGGUUGUACGUGUGGCCCACCAUUCCCACACUAGGAGCUGUUUCAAGAACAUAGCCUUGAGAGAGUAAGAUGUUGGGACCAUCUGGACUGAAUGCAUGACUGACCCCGUUAAGGCCUCUAUAAAACUUAAGAUCCUGGGGGGUAAGGGCAGAGAUCUACUCAUCUUGCAGCCACCCAAGACAAACUUCGUUUGUAAGUUCCCUGGUUUAUUAAAACUGCCACCUCCCAAUCUGGAUCCGCCUCUCCCCUUGGUUUCUCCUGGUCCUCCAUGUUAGGGGGCCAGCUAGUUUCAGAUUUCACCCAGAAAGCUCCGGAGUUUUCGAACCAACGCCAAUCUAAUCAUAGGGGUUCUUAAAAGUGGAGAACAUUUUCCAGCUACAGUCAAUCAGAGAUUCAACAAGAGAAGGACCUAACCCACUGUUGCUGGCUUUGAAGAUGGAGGAAGGAGACCAUAAACCAAAGAAUGUGAAUGUCUCAAGAAGCUGCUUCUGGAGGAAACAGAUUCUCCGCCAGAGCCUCCAGAAGGAUCACAGCUCUGCAGACGCCUUGAUUUUGCCCAGUGAGACCCAUGCUGGACUUCCAACCUGCAGAACUCAAAGUCUACAUUCCUAUCUUGGAGAAUUUCAAAACAAGAGAUACACUCUGUACAUACCUGAAGGGAAAUCGCAAGCAAUCAUAAGUAAAAGAGCAACAAAACCCCAGCAACACGAAAGAAAUGUUACUCAACUCUUUCAGAAGGGCGACGUCUCGUAGAAGAAGAUAAGAAACAACCUUACAGUGGGAGAAUCUUCCAGGUAAUAAUCAGCUUGAAAGAAUUUGUUUUGCUCUCUCCCUCUGAGUUAAAGAAGGUCUCAAAAGCCACUCUGACCCCAGCUGUAGAGGCAUUUCUGUAGGAUUCUCUUGAUGAGCUGUUUGCUGCAGGCAUUUUGCAGAGCACAGAGGGAACUUGAAUUCAUCACUGCAGUGCUGGAACAGAGGCUAGAAACAGAAAUAUCUAAAGUGAAAUGAAUGUAAUCAAUGGCACUGUGUAGUCACGGGGAAAGGGUCUGUAUGUUAAGAAUGAUCUAUAAGCAAAGUCAGGCAGUAAGGUGACAAGUAAUUUUGGAAUUGGCAUUUCUGACUGCAGUGUCCUCCUUAGGGGCUGCUUGCCUCAUAACAAUACAUGAGAAAUACACCCACAGCCCAAAUUGAGGUGCAAGGCCUUCUAUUCACACUGUGCAAAGUGGUGUCUAAAAUCUUUUUUGUGUCCCUUGGCCCCAGACACCUGGGGUUAUAAAAGAGUUGUAUUGGAGACAAAGAGAAUUUCAACCUUCCUUGCCAGCAUGGAGGAAGGGUGGCAGUUUCUUCUCUCGUACCUCUGCCCUAUUGAGAACAGCUCCCUAGGGAUGGAGUGCUCCACAAAAUAAAAAAAAUCCGCUUUAUACAUAUUCCAGUCCCACUAAACAGUGUAGCUACUCACACCAGUGAUAGCACAAUGGGAUCUUUCCCUCCCCUUAAGAGGCUGGAAACAUCAGAAAAGUUGAGCCUGUCUUCCUCCUCGCUUUCCCAUUUCCAGACAGCACCAGACUUGAGUGAGAGGAGAAAGUAUCUUUGAAUAACUUCAGACGUUUGAUUAUUAUACUGGACUGGAAAUAUUAACUACAGAACUGAAACUUUUUUUUUUUUUUACCAAAAUGGCGUGGGGGUUUCUUGCGGUCUAAGAGUGAGCAAAUAAGCUUUGGGACUAGGUGGAGAUUUUACUCUGGAGUGGAAGAAAUCUAUCCCCAUAGAGCAGAUUUCAACAGGUGUGGGGAAAACAUAUGUGCUUUAUGAUGAUACUGCAUGAGUCCUGGCCUUUCAACACCCUCUAUAAGCUUUUCCUUUGCCUAAGAAAUGUGUGUAUCCAGAGAAAAAGCCCUUCAUCUCUCAUUCUCUCAGAUUUUUCUCUUACUAACCUGUUUGUGUUGAUCUCCUCCAGCUGCCAACUUUCUAGAUUAAACUUUGACUUUUUAUUGUGAAUACCCUUUUUUCAGUUGUUCUGAUCUUUGCUGGUUGGGGUAGCUUCCUGAUUAGCGCAGCUCUUCAGCCACAGAUGGAUGCAAUUGUAGAAGAGAGAUGUUCGUGCUGAGUCAUGGUCUGAGCUAAUUAGCCCCGGACUCUGCAAGUAUAGCAUCCCUCACAGAGUAUUACUGACCCACAUACAUCUAAUCCCAAACACCAUUUAGGAAAAUGAAUCUGGUUAGCAAGAAAAGCUACACAUCAGGCCCAUGAAUGAUUUACACUUCCUCACUUGAUCUCUCCACUUGCCUCGCUUUGCUAUAGAACUAAAGGGAAGGGCUGCCCUUGACACAGUUGCUCAAUUUUCUGUCUUAUUGGAGUUUAUUUUAUUUUCUGACUUAUAAGAAAAAUAAAAGGACUGCUCUGAUCAUGACAUUGUAAGUCAUAUGAAGAAGAUAUCUUUUUCCAAUAGACGAAAUUUGUUCUUUCAGAAAUUUGUAACAUACAGCAUUAAACUGUCAAGAUUCCCUCACCUAACAGUAUAUUUUGUUCAGUUCACCAUUUACAUGUGUAUUGGGAAUGCACAUUCAACAGUAUUGCCAGCCAGGGCGCACACACACACAAAUGAUGGUGUCACUUUGGAAACUGAAGUGUCUAUUAAAUUUGCUGUGGAAUUUUUUACAUUAUAUGCAAGAAGCCAUAAUUGUGGUCCUAGUCUUACAUUAGAAAUAUUGAAUCAGUAUUUAGGGAGCUUCAACGCACAUUGAUACAUUUUUAAAGGGUUCGGAAGGCAUUAUCUACUGUAAAAUGUAAAUGUGGAAAGUUGAUUUCAGUUUCUGCUGGGCAAUAUUCACAUAUUCUCCAAUCUGUGCAGUGGAACUGGAACUCUGAUCCUUUUGUGCAUUGAUGGGGGUCUUUAGUUCCUGAACCUCAUGGUAGACCAUCUACGGAACUACUCUCCUUACUGCUGCAGAAUAAAGAUUUAGAAUGAGUUAAACCAUCUCUUGCCUCUUCUUGAGAGUUGCUCCUUUUGGAUUGUUACCUACUUUGCUCUCUUCCUUUUCUGUUGGAGGAAGAGGAGACAGCAGUAAAAAGGAAAAAGUGAGGGGGCCAAUUAGGGAGAGUGUGGAAGACUUGACUCCCUCCAUUUAAAGCACAGUGCUGUUAGCAAAAGUGAACUACUUCACUGCUCCU
RNAcentral lists this long non-coding RNA (3221 nucleotides) under Equus asinus (donkey). RNAcentral's name for it is "lncRNA (ENSEASG00005029572.1)". Lineage: Eukaryota; Metazoa; Chordata; Mammalia; Perissodactyla; Equidae. The record is from RNAcentral.